CCCCCCCCUUCCCCUCGCAGCCCCCCGGAGGCUCCAGAUGUGGCCCCAGCUGGGGAGCGGCCCCAAAAAGGCCCCUUCUGCCCCCAAACCCCCAAUCCAGAUGUUGGGGGGCCCAAAAUUGGGGGUCAGACGCUGGGGGUGGAGAGUGACACAGAUGUGGAGGAGGAGGAGCCAAAUCCAGAUGUUGGGGCCACCAGAAGACCCAAAAUAACCCCAAAAGACCCCAAAAUUCCCAGUGUGAUGGCGGAGACCCCAAAUCCAGAUGUUGUGGGGCCCAAAAUCAGCCCUGGGCUGUUCCUGGUGGAGAGUGACACAGAUGUGGAGGAGGAGGAGCCACAUCCAGAUGUUGGGAGCCCAAAAAGGCCUAAAAUGACCCUAAAACACCCCAAAACUCCAGAUGUGGCUGUAAAGACCCCAAAUCCAGAUGUGGACCCCCAAAACAGCUGUGGGAUGUUCCUGGUGGACAGUGACACAGAUGUGGAAGAGGAGGAGCCAAAUCCAGAUAUUGGGAGCCUGAAAAAACCCCAAAUGACCCCAAAAGUGCCCGAAACUCCAGGUGUGGGGGUUCAGACCCCAAAUCCAGAUGUUGAGGGCCCCAAAAAUGGGCAUCAGAUGCUGUUGGUGGACAGUGACACAGAUGUGGAAGAGGAGGAGCCACAUCCAGAUGUUGGGAGCCCCAAAACACCCAAAAUGGCCCCAAAAGACCCCAAAACUCCAGAUGUGGCUGCAAAGACCCCAAAUCCAGAUGUUGAGGGCCCCAAAAAUGGGGGUCAGGCGCUGGUGGUGGACAGUGACACAGAUGUGGAGGAGGAGUCAAAUCCAGAUGUUGGGAGCCCAAAACCACCCAGAACGACCCAAAAUGUCCCUGAAAGUCCAGAUGUGGCUGUGGAGACCCCAAAUCCAGAUGUUGGGGGGCCCAAAAACAACCUUGGGCUGUUCCUGGUGGACAGUGACACAGAUGUGGAGGGGGAGGAGCCAAAUCCAGAUGUUGGGAGCCCCAAAACACCCAAAAUGACCAUAAAACACCCCAGAACUCCAGAUGUGGCUGCGAAGACCCCGAAUCCAGAUGUUGAGGGCCCCAAAAAUGGGCAUCAGAUGCUGUUGGUGGAGAGUGACACAGAUGUGGAGGAGGAGGAGCCACAUCCAGAUGUUGGGAGCCCCAAACCCCCCAGAACGACCCAAAAUGUCCCCGAAACUCCAGAUGUGGACGUUCCGACCCCAAAUCCAGAUGUUGAGGGUCCCAAAACCCGCUGUGGGCUGUUGCUGGUGGACAGUGAGCCAGAUGUGGAGGAGGGGGAAGAGGAGGGCUCCGAUGCAGAUGUGGCCACCCAGCUGUUCCUGCCCCCUCCAGAUGUGGAAGAGGGGGAGGGCUCUGAUCCAGGUGUGGCCACCCAGCUGUUCCUCCCCCCUCCAGAUGUUGGGGCCCCGAGCUCCCCCCCAACUCCAGAUGUUCCAGGGCCUGAUUCAGGGGUGGGAGCGGACCCAGAUGUGGAGGGGGAGGAGCCAGAUCCAGAUGUUGGGCUGCCCAAACUCCUCCGGGCCCGCCUGGGUGUCUCCAGAGUUCCAGAUGUGGAGGGACCAGAUCCAGAUGUGG
Long non-coding RNA from Manacus vitellinus (golden-collared manakin), 1594 nucleotides. Lineage: Eukaryota; Metazoa; Chordata; Aves; Passeriformes; Pipridae. The record is from Ensembl.